Molecule: unclassified non-coding RNA, 148 nt
Organism: Callithrix jacchus (white-tufted-ear marmoset)
Lineage: Eukaryota; Metazoa; Chordata; Mammalia; Primates; Cebidae
Rfam family: Metazoan signal recognition particle RNA
About the family: The signal recognition particle (SRP) is a universally conserved ribonucleoprotein. It is involved in the co-translational targeting of proteins to membranes. The eukaryotic SRP consists of a 300-nucleotide 7S RNA and six proteins: SRPs 72, 68, 54, 19, 14, and 9.
Source: Ensembl
GCCGGGCGUGGCGGCGGGCGCCUGUAGUCCCAGCCACUCUGGAGGCUGAAGCGGGAAGAUCGCUUGAGCCCAGGAGCUCGAGGCUGCAGUGAGCUGUGCUUGCGCCACUGCACUCCAGCCUGGGCAACAGAGCAAGAUCCUGGUUCGU